CCAUGAAAACUCAAAAACACUUUUGAAGGGAAAAAGUUUAGCUAAUUUUCUCAACUUUGUGGCCCCAGUGUAACUUUAGAAAACCCUCACUGGCUCCAUUUGCAGUUAUGUUCCAAGCCUGCAGAAAAAGAUAACGGCACACAGGCAAAACUCAAGGAAGUGACCAAACAUGUCAUCUGGUGCAAAGCUUCAACUCCUGCCUCGUAAGUGAGGCCUGUGACUAAGAUCGGAAAAGAGGAGGAGUGUGUGCCGGCGUUGCCAAACCAAUACUGCAGAGAAGAGAACAAAGCUUUGCUCCUCAGAAAAAAGGUGAUGCCUGCCUCGGACCCGCCGUGCCAGAACAUCGUCCAGACCGAAUGUUUUGGCAAAAGAACCGGCAGAGAGCCGGGUCAAGGGGAUCGAGAGUGGUGGACGUACAGAAGAGGACGGCGGUGUUUGGAGCCGGUCUGGUGUGGAAGUGUGGAGGUGUGGUGAGGUCUCAGGGAGGGGAUGGGCACCGAGGGGCGAGUCAGCUUAAUUAUACAACAUUGCUGCCACUAUAACACCACAGAGCCCAGUCAUUAAGACAAAAAAGUGGAGCAUGGAGGAGAGCCACAGACUGUCUGAAUUCUUCUUGGCUCUUUUGUCUGUUGUUAACACAGUUAUAUAUAAGUCUUAACAGCCUGGUUUAAACUUGUGGUAAACAAAUGGGUUGUAAGGAGUAAAAGAUUCCCAUUCACUCUGCUGUGUGAGCUAAUCCAUUUCAAAUUAAAAGUCAGAAUUUGGGAAAACAUUUUAGCACCAGCUAUUAAUAUUGUUUGUGUUAAGCACUGACUACUUAACCAUUAAUUUAUCUGAAACUUCUAUCUCAUUAAGAUGAUUCAAAUCUUCCUUAAAACCCAUAGUAAAGGAUUUGGUUAAUGUUUUCUGUCAUGUAGUUCAUCAUCAUUCCACUAGAGGCAGUAGAAGGACUUUUCCUGCUCAUUUCAAAAUGCCUUCUUCUAUGAAAUCUGAAACAACACUUUUGGUGGGAAUUUUUUUUGGUGCUAAUUUUCAAAAAUAUUAAUGUGAGAAUAUCUCCUUUAUAGUUAUUGGUUUUUAAAUGACUAUGUUAGAGUGAAGCGAUGAAUGCACCUUUAAGUUUUGUUAGAGUGCGAUGAGCGCACCAAUAUUUUUUUGUCUUGGGACUAUUUUGUUUGACGCAAGGUUACACAGCUGUAUAAAUAAAGGCGAAGCCUCCUGUCCUAUGUGCGCUUAAGUGACGGACAUCAUGGUUACCGGAGCAGUGACGACGUGUCCAAAGGCUUUUCCAGUACCGGGCAGUGUGUGUCAUAAAGCAAAGAUAUGACAAACUACUUACUGUAUUUUAAAUAUUAUAACAAUUCUUUAUAAUGCAGUUUCAGGAUAUCACUGGCAUAUAUAAAGAUGGACAAACACCUGUGAUAUCACCCAUAGAAAAUACCUUACCUCCAAUGAAAUGAAAUCAAUUCAGACGCCAUUUUUCUACAAUACAGACUUCGCCAUUUUGGACUCAGUGAUUGGUCCAAGUCGGUCUGAUUUCUAUUGCAACCGCUCUGGCUAAUCAGGAGUGAGCUUGUG
Molecule: long non-coding RNA, 1578 nt
Organism: Oryzias melastigma (Indian medaka)
Lineage: Eukaryota; Metazoa; Chordata; Actinopteri; Beloniformes; Adrianichthyidae
Exons: 3
Source: RefSeq, a predicted model, not a curated record